CCUACGGGAGGCAGCAGUGGGGAAUAUUGGACAAUGGGGGGAACCCUGAUCCAGCGACGCCGCGUGAGUGAAGAAGUAUUUCGGUAUGUAAAGCUCUAUCAGUAGGGAAGAAAAUGACGGUACCUGACCAAGAAGCCCCGGCUAACUACGUGCCAGCAGCCGCGGUAAUACGUAGGGGGCAAGCGUUAUCCGGAUUUACUGGGCGUAAAGGGAGCGUAGACGGUGCAGUAAGUCUGAUGUGAAAGUUCGGGGCCCAACCGCAGGACUGCAUUGGAAACUGUUAAACUGGAGUACAGGUGAGGUAAGCGGAAUUCCUAGUGUAGCGGUGAAAUGCUUAGAUAUUACGAGGAACACCAGUGGCGAAGGCGGCUUACUAGACUGUAACUGACGUUGAGGCUCGAAAGCGUGGGGAGCAAACAGGAUUAGAUACCCCUGUAGUC
This 440-nucleotide ribosomal RNA is filed under the name uncultured bacterium. Its description in RNAcentral is "partial 16S ribosomal RNA". It matches the Rfam family "Bacterial small subunit ribosomal RNA", at positions 338 to 795 of the family's 1533-position model. The record is from RNAcentral.